CUGAACUCAAUCACUACACCCCUAUAACACACACACUCCAACACACAUCAAUCUUUAUCUGCAAUUGCAGCUGUCUCUACUGCCUGACAAAACCAUCAAAGAUAAACUUCACUAAGAGAUAUUCCAGGAAUACUGGCCAUGAGGCAGGAAUACACCAUGGAUGGGGUGCUAGGUGAGCUGGGAGGAAACCAGGGAACCCGGAGGAUACCCACAGGGACACCGGGGGAACAUGCCGAUGUCCGGAUCGAACUGUGGCAAGGUUGUGUGUGCCUGUGCAACAUGAAGUUUUGUGUUGAUCUAUCCACUGACCUCCACUGACUUGAGAAAUCCAAUCAAUGGCCAUUGUGAUGCGAGCUCAUUCAUCC
Long non-coding RNA from Ictalurus punctatus (channel catfish), 365 nucleotides. The record is from Ensembl. NCBI's taxonomy places the organism in Eukaryota, Metazoa, Chordata, Actinopteri, Siluriformes, Ictaluridae.